GACGAAGGAUGCAAGCGUUAUCCGGAUUCAUUGGGCUUAAAGGGUUUGUAGGUGGCUUGUUAAGUCAGACGUGAAAUCCCUCAGCUUAACUGGGGAACUGCGUCUGAGACUGGUGAGCUUGAGUGCAGGAGAGGAACGCGGAAUUCCAGGUGUAGCGGUGAAAUGCGUAGAUAUCUGGAGGAACACCGGUGGCGAAGGCGGCGUUCUGGACUGCAACUGACACUGAUGAACGAAAGCCAGGGGAGCAAACGGG
This 253-nucleotide ribosomal RNA is filed under the name uncultured bacterium. RNAcentral's name for it is "partial 16S ribosomal RNA". It matches the Rfam family "Bacterial small subunit ribosomal RNA", at positions 524 to 776 of the family's 1533-position model. The record is from RNAcentral.